Molecule: ribosomal RNA, 253 nt
Filed under: uncultured bacterium
Lineage: Bacteria
Description: partial 16S ribosomal RNA
Rfam family: Bacterial small subunit ribosomal RNA
Source: RNAcentral
UACGAGAGGUGCAAGCGUUGUUCGGAAUUAUUGGGCGUAAAGCGCACGUAGGCGGGUUUGUAUGUCGGUUGUGAAAGCCCAGGGCUCAACCCUGGAAUUGCAGCCGAAACUGCAAAUCUUGAAUACCAGAUAGGGUGGGAGAAUUCCUGGUGGAGCAGUGAAAUGCGUAGAGAUCAGGAGGAAUACCGGAGGCGAAGGCGCCUGCCUGGCUGGAUAUUGACGCUGAGGUGCGAAAGCAUGGGGAGCAAACAGG